CUACUGCUGCCACUGCUACUACUACUACUACUACCACCACCACCAUUACCACUGCUGCUGCUACUGCUACUACUACUACUACUACCACUACCACCAUUACCACUGCUGCUACUGCUGCUACUGCUACUACUACUACCACCAUUACCACUGCUGCUACUGCUGCUACUGCUACUACUACCACUACUACUACUACUACUACUACCACCAUUACCACUGCUGCUGCUACUGCUACUACUACUACUACUACUACUACCACCAUUACCACUGCUGCUGCUACUACUACUACUACUACUACUACUACCACCAUUACCACUGCUGCUGCUACUACUACUACUACUACUACUACUACUACCACUACUACUACUACUACUACUACCACCAUUACCACUGCUGCUACUGCUGCUACUACUACUACUACUACUACUACCACCACCACCAUUACCACUGCUGCUGCUACUGCUACUACUACUACCACUACUACUACUACUACUACUACCACCAUUACCACUGCUGCUGCUACUGCUACUACUACUACUACUACUACUACUACCACCAUUACCACUGCUACUGCUACUACUACUACUACUACUACUGCUACUACCACCAUUACCGCUGCUGCUGCUGCUACUACUACUACUACUACUACUGCUAUUACUACUACUACUACUACUACUACUACUACUACUACCACCAUUACCACUGCUGCUACUGCAACUACUACUACCACCAUUACCACUGCUGCUACUGCUGCUACUGCUACUACUACUACUGCUACUACUACUACUACUGCUAUUACUGCUACUACUACUACUACUACUACCACCAUUACCACUGCUGCUGCUGCUACUACUACUACUACUACUACUACUACUACCACCAUUACCACUGCUGCUGCUACUGCUGCUACUACUACUACUACCAUUACCACUGCUGCUGCUACUGCUACUACUACUACUACCACUACUACUACCACUACUACUACUACUACCACUACUACUACUACCACUACUACUACUACUACUACUACUACCAUUACCACUGCUGCUGCUACUGCUGCUGCUGCUACUACUACUACUACUACUACUACUACUACCACUACUACUACCACCAUUUCCACUGCUGCUGCUGCUCCUCCUCCUACUACUACUACUACUACUACUACUACUACCACCACCAUUACCACUGCUACUACUACUACUACCACCACCACCAUUACCACUGCUGCUACUACUACUACUACUACCACCACCACCAUUACCACUGCUGCUACUACUACUACUGCUACUACUACUACUGCUGCUACUACUACUACUACUACUGCUACUGCUGCUACAGUAAUACUACUACCACUACUGCUUCUGCUGCUACUACUGCAGUCACUACUACUAGUGCUGCUGUUGCUGUUACUACAGUUACUGCUACAGGUAUUACUGUAACGACUACUACUACCAAUACAGACUACUACUAUGUUUCUACUGCCCUUACCAGACUGCCUCAGAGCCUCCUGAACCAAAGCAUCAAUCAAUCUUCAACACAUCCUUUUCUCCUCAGCUCCAUGCUACCACCUUCAUCAUCAUAUUUUGUGAACUGGGACAUUUGCAAUGGGAUUUGUUUUGCCUUUUUGAACAAGGAGGUAGAAUCAAUGUGAGCAUGACUUUACAUUUGUGUUGUAUGUGUUCCUGAAUGCUACAUGUUCCUGCUUGCCAGUGUGUGUGUGUGUGUGUGUGUGUGUGUGUGUGUGUGUGUGUGUGUGUGUGUGUGUGUGUGUGUGUGUGUGUGUGUGCAUUCCUGCAUGCCAGCUUGUGUGUGUAUAUGUGUGGUGAAAUCGGUAUGCUGGUCGGGAGGGCUGUGUUGUUUUGUAUGCUGGUCGGGAGGGCUGUGUUGUUUUGGAUGCUGGUCGGGAGGGCUGUGUUGUUUUGUAUGCUGGUCGGGAGGGCUGUGUUGUUUUGGAUGCUGGUCGGGAGGGCUGUGUUGUUUUGUAUGCUGGUCGGGAGGGCUGUGUUGUUUUGGAUGCUGGUCGGGAGGGCUGUGUUGUUUUGGAUGCUGGUCGGGAGGGCUGUGUUGUUUUGGAUGCUGGUCGGGAGGGCUGUGUUGUUUUGGAUGCUGGUCGGGAGGGCUGUGUUGUUUUGGAUGCUGGUCGGGAGGGCUGUGUUGUUUUGGAUGCUGGUCGGGAGGGCUGUGUUGUUUUGGAUGCUGGUCGGGAGGGCUGUGUUGUUUUGGAGGUUGAUAGAGGGACUGAUAGACGGUUGAUAGACUGAUAGAGGGGCUAAUAGACGGUUGAUAGAGGGGCUGAUAGACGGUUGAUAGAGGGGCUAAUAGACGGUUGAUAGAGGGGCUAAUAGAUGGUUGAUAGAGGGGCUAAUAGAUGGUUGAUAGAGGGGCUAAUAGACGGUUGAUAGAGGGGCUGAUAGACGGUUGAUAGAGGGGCUAAUAGACGGUUGAUAGAGGGGCUGAUAGACGGUUGAUAGAGGGGCUAAUAGACGGUUGAUAGAGGGGCUGAUAGACGGUUGAUAGAGGGGCUGAUAGACGGUUGAUAGAGGGGCUGAUAGACGGUUGAUAGAGGGACUGAUAGAUGGUUGAUAGAGGGGCUGAUAGAUGGUUGAUAGAGGGGCUGAUAGAUGGUUGAUAGAGGGGCUGAUAGACGGUUGAUAGAGGGGCUAAUAGAUGGUUGAUAGAGGGGCUGAUAGACGGUUGAUAGAGGGGCUAAUAGACGGUUGAUAGAGGGGCUGAUAGACGGUUGAUAGAGGGGCUGAUAGACGGUUGAUAGAGGGGCUGAUAGACGGUUGAUAGAGGGGCUGAUAGAUGGUUGAUAGAGGGGCUGAUAGAUGGUUGAUAGAGGGGCUGAUAGAUGGUUGAUAGAGGGGCUGAUAGAUGGUUGAUAGAGGGACUGAUAGAGGGGCUGAUAGACGGUUGAUAGAGGGGCUGAUAGAUGGUUGAUAGAGGGGCUAAUAGACGGUUGAUAGAGGGGCUGAUAGAUGGUUGAUAGAGGGGCUGAUAGAUGGUUGAUAGAGGGGCUGAUAGAUGGUUGAUAGAGGGGCUGAUAGAUGGUUGAUAGAGGGGCUGAUAGAUGGUUGAGAGGGGCUGAUAGAUGGUUGAUAGAGGGACUGAUAGAGGGGCUGAUAGACGGUUGAUAGAGGGGCUGAUAGAUGGUUGAUAGAGGGGCUAAUAGACAGUUGAUAGAGGGGCUGAUAGAUGGUUGAUAGAGGGGCUGAUAGAUGGUUUAUAGAGGGGCUGAUAGACGGUUGAUAGAGGGGCUGAUAGACGGUUGAUAGAGGGGCUAAUAGACGGUUGAUAGAGGGGCUGAUAGAUGGUUGAUAGAGGGGCUGAUAGAUGGUUGAUAGAGGGGCUGAUAGAUGGUUGAUAGAGGGGCUGAUAGAUGGUUGAUAGAGGGGCUGAUAGAUGGUUGAUAGAGGGACUGAUAGAUGGUUGAUAGAGGGGCUGAUAGAUGGUUGAUAGAGGGGCUGAUAGACGGUUGAUAGAGGGGCUGAUAGACGGUUGAUAAAGGGCUGAUGGAGGGGUUGAUAGAUGCUUGAUAGAGGGGCUGAUAGAUGCUUGAUAGAGGGGCUGAUAGAUGGUUGAUAGAGGGGCUGAUGGAGGGGCUGAUAGACAGCUGAUAGAGGGGCUGAUAGAGAGGAUGUCUUAGGGACCAGAUGUUGGAGCAACCUUAAGUGCAGUAAUUAGAAGAGGCAGCAGGAUCAGGUGCAAAACAGUUUCCAGUUUAUUAACAGUGAAAGGUGGUUCCCGGUGAAUGACAAAAUCCAUUCAAUAUUUACAUAAUCUAUAAAGGUAUUUACAAAAUGGUAUUUACACCCUCUCCAGAGGGUGGUGCGGUCUGCACAUCGCAUCACCGGGGGAAAACUACCUGCCCUCCAAGACACCUACAGCACCCGAUGUCACAGGAAGGCCAAAAAGAUCAUCAAUGACAUCAACCAUCUGAGCCACUGCCUGUUCGCACCACUACAAUCCAGAAGGAGAGGUCAGAGGAAAGGGUAUGAAGCGAG
RNAcentral lists this long non-coding RNA (4001 nucleotides) under Salmo salar (Atlantic salmon). Its description in RNAcentral is "lncRNA (ENSSSAG00000121793.1)". The record is from RNAcentral. Lineage: Eukaryota; Metazoa; Chordata; Actinopteri; Salmoniformes; Salmonidae.